This is a non-coding RNA of Momordica charantia (bitter melon), 1969 nucleotides long. The record is from RefSeq and is a predicted model, not a curated record. Lineage: Eukaryota; Viridiplantae; Streptophyta; Magnoliopsida; Cucurbitales; Cucurbitaceae.
CCCCAACGGUUAUUUUAUUUAACCUUAAGAGACUCUAGGGCUAAUAAAAAAAUAAGCGAUGGUGAAGUAAUCUUCGAUUCCACUCCACGUUCGAUCGGGGACAUGAAAGACCCAAUUUAAAAUUGGAACUGAAAUUUCAUGAUCAGAAAACCCUAAUUCGAGGUCGGAUAGGAAUCGUGAUGUGAUGAGAUUCCUUGGACCAAACUCGAUCGGAAAACCCUAAUUCGAAAUUGGAGAGUCGUUGCGAUCUCGAUCGGUUAGAAUCACGAACAGAGAGCUGUUGUUUGCGAUAUGUUUUUCGGCAGGAGUUUGCACUGGCGUUUGAUCUUGCGGAGGAGGGGGUUCAAGUUUCUCUCAUUGUACGAUUCACGACUUUCACUACCGCAUCACAAGCGACUCUCAUCGUAAUGAUUUUCUUUCCAGAUUCAUGUCGUAUCUCCAGACUUUGGAGUUUGCAGUGGCGUUUGAUCUGGGUUGCGGAGGAGGUUUCUCUAUUCAUCACAGGCGAAUAGUUCUCACUUUAUGACUUUUGAGGACUUAUUAUUAUCCUGGAUUGAUUUCUUCAAAGUCGUGGCAUUGAAGAGAAAUAGGCAGGAACUAACCCAUUUGAUGUCUCCCUAUCCUUUAUUGGGCCAUCUCCCUCAUUUCUCCACCAACAAUCAAUUAGUGCUCCCCAUCUGAUGCCUCCAUAACCUUUAUUGGGUUUAUUUUCUCAUUUUUUUCCUUUUAUUAAAUUUUAUAUUGGUUAAUGUACUUCUAUUCUUAGUGGGGAGUGAAUCAAGACCAGAUCGUAGAUUCAAUAGUACUUACCAAAGAUAUUGCAGUAGAGAUCACAACAGCACACAUACUAAAACAACUGAGAAAGAAAGUGCAUUGAUGGGAGACUUGAAGAAUUAGAAGACACACUUAAAUAUCGGUGGUUACAUGGAUAUGAAGUUGAAGUCAACCAAUCUAUUGGUCGUGGCUCAAAUUUUGGAGGAGUUUAUUUCGUGAUUAUAGAAAUGACACGUCCUCAAUCGCUUCCCAUGUAGCUUGUUCCUCAGCUAAGUUCUUCCGGUUGGUCGCGUAGGGCCCGAAGUACUUGUUUGCAAGCUUUUAAUUUCGACACUUGGCUGCUGUUUUCUAGUACGGUCCGAUGUUCAAAUACACACAGUCGUCAUCCUCAUCUUUGAAGCAAUCUAUUGCCACAUCCCUUUCUUCCAAUUACUGAUCCAAUGUUGCGUUGGUAGCUUUCUUGCUUCCAUACCCAAUCAGAGGGAGUGGGCCUCCCAUAGGCCAAAUGAAAGGUGUUGUCCCCACCAAUACUUGGGCCAAUCAGCGAGACUUUGACAACAAGACUCAACUGCGGAAUUGACUGAAUAGGACACGAGCGGGUACUUUCAAGCCUAUGUGACCAAUGCACUUAUGCUGCCUUCACUCAAACACUUUCAAAGAAGCAAGGGGAAGGAGCGAAGCUGCUUUACCGAGUUUACGAGGGGAAGGGGAAGAGUUUUUGAAAUCGAUUCACUAAGCUAGCUUCACUCUUAAACUACUUGAACUAGAGGAGCGGUACGAGCUACCUACUCUACUAAUAGGCUUACUACAAAAGAAAGGAAGGCUAUUUGAGAUCCUUUUUCAAGGCUGUUGUGUAUAUCAUAGAAGCCAGGAAAGGAAAGAGGAUAGCAGAAAUCCCACAUUGGGUAGGCUUAAAUUUGAUCUCAGUUUACAGAAGGUGCGCGAGUUGCAGAGAAACUGCCAUCCAAUUUGCCAUGUGGAAGAUGGACAUUAAAUAAGUACAGUGACCUAAAAUAGUACAGUAAAAACUGGCUUUGUGGGACUGUGGCUGGGAUUGCUACAAGAAAAAAAGAGCACCUAUAACAAUUAAGUCAGGUCUUUUGGAACCUUUUUGAAAAUAACCUAUAUUGAGAUUUAUGUUAACAUUUUCUUUUGGCCUUAUAUUAAUGCAUUUGAAUGCUUUAUUUAUGUAUUA